CCGCAAUCCGCCAAUCGGGCAGCCCGAGCCGCGGAAGGAUGUUUUCCCACUGAGCGCCGGGGUGCCCGGCAGACUGUGAGCG
Molecule: non-coding RNA, 82 nt
Filed under: Thiomonas sp. CB2
Lineage: Bacteria; Pseudomonadati; Pseudomonadota; Betaproteobacteria; Burkholderiales
Also listed under: 3 other names
Description: sucA
Rfam family: SucA RNA motif
Source: RNAcentral